RNAcentral lists this ribosomal RNA (492 nucleotides) under uncultured bacterium. Its description in RNAcentral is "partial 16S ribosomal RNA". It matches the Rfam family "Bacterial small subunit ribosomal RNA", at positions 29 to 507 of the family's 1533-position model. The record is from RNAcentral.
AGUGAACGCUGGCGGUAGGCCUAACACAUGCAAGUCGAACGGCAGCACAGUAAGAGCUUGCUCUUACGGGUGGCGAGUGGCGGACGGGUGAGGAAUACAUCGGAAUCUACUUUUUCGUGGGGGAUAACGUAGGGAAACUUACGCUAAUACCGCAUACGACCUACGGGUGAAAGCAGGGGAUCUUCGGACCUUGCGCGAUUGAAUGAGCCGAUGUCGGAUUAGCUAGUUGGCGGGGUAAAGGCCCACCAAGGCGACGAUCCGUAGCUGGUCUGAGAGGAUGGUCGCCCACACUGGAACUGAGACACGGUCCAGGCUCCUAAGGGAGGCAGCAGUGGGGAAUAUUGGGCAAUGGGCGCAAGCCUGAUCCAGCCAUACCGCGUGGGUGAAGGAGGCCUUCGGGUUGUAAAGCCCUUUUGUUGGGAAAGAAAAGCAGCAGGUUAAUACCCCGCUGUUCUGACGGUACCCAAAGAAUAAGCACCGGCUAACUUCGUG